GGGCCCGCACAAGCAGUGGAGCAUGUGGUUUAAUUCGAUGCAACGCGAAGAACCUUACCAGGCCUUGACAUCCUCGGAACUUUCUAGAGAUAGAUUGGUGCCUUCGGGAACCGAGUGACAGGUGCUGCAUGGCUGUCGUCAGCUCGUGUCGUGAGAUGUUGGGUUAAGUCCCGUAACGAGCGCAACCCUCGUCCUAUGUUGCCAGCACGUAAUGGUGGGGACUCGUAGGAGACUGCCGGGGUCAACUCGGAGGAAGGUGGGGACGACGUCAAGUCAUCAUGCCCCUUACAUCCUGGGCUACACACGUACUACAAUGCUACGGACAAAGGGGCAGCAAGUUCGCGAGGACAAG
RNAcentral lists this ribosomal RNA (352 nucleotides) under uncultured bacterium. RNAcentral's name for it is "bacterial SSU rRNA". It matches the Rfam family "Bacterial small subunit ribosomal RNA", at positions 917 to 1267 of the family's 1533-position model. The record is from RNAcentral.